This 477-nucleotide ribosomal RNA is filed under the name uncultured Bacteroidota bacterium. RNAcentral's name for it is "bacterial SSU rRNA". It matches the Rfam family "Bacterial small subunit ribosomal RNA", at positions 355 to 829 of the family's 1533-position model. The record is from RNAcentral. Lineage: Bacteria; Pseudomonadati; Bacteroidota.
UAAGGAAUAUUGGUCAAUGGACGGAAGUCUGAACCAGCCAUGCCGCGUGGAGGAUGAAGGUCCUCUGGAUUGUAAACUUCUUUUAUCUGGGAAGAAAUCCAUCUUUUCUAGGGUGGUUGACGGUACCAGAUGAAUAAGCACCGGCUAACUCCGUGCCAGCAGCCGCGGUAAUACGGAGGGUGCAAGCGUUAUCCGGAUUCACUGGGUUUAAAGGGUGCGUAGGUGGGCAGGUAAGUCAGUGGUGAAAUCCUGUAGCUUAACUACAGAACUGCCAUUGAUACUAUCUGUCUUGAAUACCCUGGAGGUGAGCGGAAUAUGUCAUGUAGCGGUGAAAUGCUUAGAUAUGACAUAGAACACCCAUUGCGAAGGCAGCUCACUACGGGAAUAUUGACACUGAGGCAACGAAAGCGUGGGGAUCAAACAGGAUUAGAUACCCUGUAGUCCACGCCCUAAACGAUGGAUACUGACAUCAGCGAA